UUUUUAGUAUAAGUAUGGUCCAUUCAAUAUUUAGGAUAUAUUUAUACUAAAA
This is a non-coding RNA of Myotis davidii, 52 nucleotides long. Lineage: Eukaryota; Metazoa; Chordata; Mammalia; Chiroptera; Vespertilionidae. The record is from Rfam.